This is an RNA transcript of Enhydra lutris kenyoni (northern sea otter), 3403 nucleotides long. It is a transcript of the gene named TraB domain containing 2A, with no coding region annotated. Lineage: Eukaryota; Metazoa; Chordata; Mammalia; Carnivora; Mustelidae. The transcript has 13 exons. The record is from RefSeq and is a predicted model, not a curated record.
AUGAGUCCCUGGAGCUGGUUCCUGCUGCCGACCCUCUGCUUCCUGCCCACGGGCGCAGACCCGCGGCGCGGCGCGCCUGCCUCCGCCAGCUGCGAGCUCAAGCCCCAGCAAAGUGAAUUGAAUUCCUUCUUGUGGACCAUAAAGCGAGACCCGCCAUCUUACUUCUUUGGCACGAUCCAUGUUCCGUACACUCGGGUUUGGGACUUCAUCCCGGACAACUCCAAGGAAGCUUUUCAGCAGAGCAGCAUUGUGUACUUCGAGCUGGACCUCACUGACCCCUACACAAUCUCGGCCCUCACUAGUUGUCAGAUGCUGCCACAGGGAGAGAACCUCCAGGACGUGCUCCCCCGGGACAUCUACUGCCGCCUCAAGCGACACUUAGAGUACGUCAAGCUCAUGAUGCCCUCGUGGAUGACGCCGGACCAGCAUGGCAAAGGCCUCUAUGCCGACUACCUCUUCAAUGCCAUUGCGGGGAACUGGGAGCGGAAGAGGCCCAUCUGGGUGAUGCUUAUGGUCAACUCCCUGACGGAAGUGGACAUUAAGUCCCGUGGGGUGCCUGUCUUAGACCUGUACCUUGCCCAGGAGGCUGAGCGGCUGAGGAAGCAGACUGGGGCUGUGGAAAAGGUGGAAGAGCAGUGCCAUCCACUGAAUGGGCUGAACUUCUCACAGGUCAUCUUUGCUUUGAACCAGACCCUCCUGCAGCAGGAGAGCCUUCGAGCAGGCAGCCUUCAGAUCCCCUACACGACGGAGGAUCUCAUCAAACACUAUAACUGUGGGGACCUCAGCUCUGUCAUCUUCAGCCAUGACAGCUCCCAGGUUCCCAAUUUUAUUAACGCCACGCUGCCGCCCCAGGAGCGCGUCACGGCGCAGGAGAUCGACAGCUACUUCCGCCAGGAGCUUAUCUACAAGCGGAAUGAGAGAAUGGGGAAGCGGGUGAAGGCGCUCUUGGAAGAGUUUCCUGACAAAGGCUUUUUCUUUGCCUUUGGAGCUGGUCAUUUCAUGGGCAACAACACAGUACUUGAUGUCUUGCGGCGCGAAGGCUAUGAGGUAGAACACGCCCCUGCUGGACGAACCAUCAACAAAGAGAAGAGCCAAACUCCGUCCUUGGGGCCCACCUUCUCGUCCAUCUUUGCUCCGGAAGUGCCUGCUGUGGACAUGCGAGCUCCGGAAGCUGCGUUUGUGGCCCACUCGCUGUUUCUGCCUCACGAGUCCCCGCCUGGAAGUGCGGACCUGGGUGGUGGGGCGGAGCCGAAGUAUCGGAAGAAGCGGAGGCGGCCACGCCCACAGCGAAGGCACCGGCUUAGGCAGUUCAGUGAUCUGUGGGUUCGACUGGAGGAGCGUGUCAUGGUCCCACAGCUCCAGGUCCCCAUUCUGGAUAGGUCCGUCUCCGCCGAGCUGCAGCUCCUUCACCGUGGGCAUUCCCACCACAGCCAGUUGGUAGCCAGCAGUGCCUGCCUGUCUCUCUGGACUCCUGUGUUCUGGGUGCUGGCGCUGGCUUUCCAAACAGAGGCACCCCUCCUGUAAUGACUGGAGGGGCCAGGCCAAGCCCCUGACCCCAUGGACUUGAAGGAUGGCCAUUCCUGUACUCCACACUCUGGUCUAGCCUUGAUAGGCCCAACCCAAGAAAAGAGAGUAAAAUGCAGUGUUGGUUCUUCUCUGUCCAAGAAUUGACUUUGGGUUAUCCAGCAGAGCUUGGGCUGCUGUGGUGCCCGAUGUCCACCUCUGACUUCUGCUACAGCCAUUCCCAUGGCUUAGUAAGCACCUUUUCCUGCUCGGAACGCCAAGAGUAGCCUCGGAUUCCUGCUCUGAACUCUAAGAAAAGGAAGCACCUGGGACCAUGUGACUGCAGUGGACACCAGGCCUUUCGUAUUAGCGUGAGGAGGAAGGAAGCCCCUGUGGGUAAGGCAUGGCUGAGCUCUGACGGGCUACUGACGGGAAGCUGCCUGACUCACCUGGGGGAGGGGAGCAGGUUUAAGAGAUGAGGACAGCGCUGCCUAAAGAGGCUACAUUUACCAACCUUGCCCAGCUACUGGAGAUGGAGCCUGGCCCCUAGGCCCCCAGAGCCUGCCCUGCCGGGUCACACGGCCAGACGUAUCACCUUCAGCCACUGCAGACCACUGAAAUGAACCACUGCAGAACUCUUGAUAGUAUUCAGAAAGUAUCAUCUUGAUGUGAGGCGGAACACAGGAAAAUAGAGGUGAGGUGGCACCACCGGUUUUUUCAUAUCCUUAACUUGGAUUUGAUAAUCAUUUUGGGGUAAGAGACAUAAGGGCAAGGUAAGGUCAUAUGCUUUUCUUGGCUCUCCCCCAAGAUCAUCGUUAGGUUGUGGGACCAAUGUGUUAGAAUUUUCUCCACAAUUUAAGGGAAAGCCCUUGUUAAUUCUCUCCAAAGUUGGGUUGACAAAGGGAAAUGGAGGUGUUUUUUAACACACUUAGAAGAAAAGAGGAUUGAGCUUUCUUUAACAACCUGACAAGAAGAAGAGAAGUUCAAAAUCCCGUGAAGAUGUGAUGCUUAGUGCCAAAAUAAAACAUGGCGAACCUUGACACCACUGGUAGCUGAGAGAAACCUUGUGGUGAACAGAGCGCACUACUGGGGAUGCUUGUUUUCUGUGCAUACUGGACACCUGAGUGUUGAGAACACAUGGCAGAUGGAGGCGCUCUUGAACAGAAUGUGGAACAGGCAGACAGGAACAGGUGACACAAGAAGCCCUGACAAGCAGGAGCAGCACUUCCGUGAGACUUGACUCUGAGUGACUUCUGGAAGGGAAGCACUAACACAGCACUCCCAGUUACUCCCUGACGUCCCCAUGAGCAGUGCUCACAUGAUAUAGGGUUUGCAUAACGGAAGAAGGUAUGAAGCGAGAAGGGGCAUCUUCAAAACUGCCCCAAAGAGGAGGGUGGAGAGAGAGUGCAAGGAAGUGCUAUCACAUUCUACUCUGGAACAACAAGGAAGACUAAGAUUCUCUUUCUUUCCCUAGUGUUCCCAGGUGUAGACAAAGGGCAACCUGGGGAUAGGGUUUGUUUGUGAAGGGUUGUUGUGAAGGGUUAUAAAACUAAGUUGUUGGAGAUAGUUGCAAGGUCUUUGCUGUUCUUUUGGUUUUCUGUUUUCAGUUAGUGGUUCUGGGGAGCCUUUUGGCCAAUGGGCUUUCUAAGGUUCCCUUCUCUGGCUCCCUUGUCCCUCUAUAUUGCUGCCUGUCUGUCCUCUUCUCCCAAUGCCCAUUUCUUUCAGCUGGAUAUUCCUGGGUUGGGAGUUUGUUUCUAGAAAGUCAAAGGGUCUAGGGCAGGGGCCAUGAAAAAUCACUGUGGGAACUGCUGUUCGGUAUUGGUUCGGUAUUGAAAGGAGAGCUCAAAGGGGGUCUGCACAAGCUUUCUGUCUAGACCCGACUGCCCAAAAGAAACGUAAU